UUCCGCCUGGGGAGUACGGUCGCAAGAUUAAAACUCAACAGGAAUUGACGGGGGCCGCACAAGCGGUGGAGCAUGUGGUUUAAUUAGAAGGAACGCGCAGAACCUUACCAGAAUUUGACAUUCGGGGUAUGGGCAUUGGAGCCGAUGUCCUUCAGUUAGGCAGGCCCCAGAACAGGUGCUGCAUGGCUGUAGUCAGCUCGAGUCGUGAGAUGUUGGGUUAAGUCCCGCAUCAAGCGCAACCCUGGCCCUUAGUUGCCCGCAUUUAAUUGGGCAUUCUAAGGGGAUUGCCGGUUUUAACCUGAGAAGAAGGAAGUGAAGUUACCUAGUCCUCAUGGCCCUUACCGGGUAUGAAACGCAGUUGCUCAAAUGGGGGGGGCGGUUUGCAGCGAGACAUAAAUAUCGACCUAAUUUCCAAAAACCACCAGAAAUUCGAUUGCACUCUAGCACCCUUGGGCAUGAAGUGGGAAUCGGCAGGAAGUUAACAGGGGCUUGUUGUCGGGAAACCGUCAUUAUGCUUAUUACAGAAAGACCUUCACAACCAUGGGAGCCGGUAUUACCCAAAGGGCAUGGGUGGAUCGCACGGAGGCAGAUUACCAAAUAUUGCUCAGUGCUGCCUCCGAAAUGAGUUAAGGAGUAAC
RNAcentral lists this ribosomal RNA (638 nucleotides) under Agrobacterium sp. MQ-2011-M36. RNAcentral describes it as "bacterial SSU rRNA". The stretch from base 1 to 537 matches the Rfam family "Bacterial small subunit ribosomal RNA", at positions 867 to 1533 of the family's 1533-position model. Lineage: Bacteria; Pseudomonadati; Pseudomonadota; Alphaproteobacteria; Hyphomicrobiales; Rhizobiaceae. The record is from RNAcentral.